Molecule: ribosomal RNA, 239 nt
Filed under: uncultured bacterium
Lineage: Bacteria
Description: partial 16S ribosomal RNA
Rfam family: Bacterial small subunit ribosomal RNA
Source: RNAcentral
AUACGUAGGGGGCUAGCGUUAUCCGGAUUUACUGGGCGUAAAGGGUGCGUAGGUGGUUUCUUAAGUCAGGAGUGAAAGGCUACGGCUCAACCGUAGUAAGCCUUUGAAACUGGGAAACUUGAGUGCAGGAGAGGUAAGUGGAAUUCCUAGUGUAGCGGUGAAAUGCGUAGAUAUUAGGAGGAACACCAGUAGCGAAGGCGGCUUACUGGACUAUAACUGACACUGAGGCUCGAAAGCGU